GUUUACUCCUUUAAGGCCAACAGGAAGUCUCAACCGCUGCUUUGAGUCUCUUUCAAAGGGCUCAUCUGCUGAAGUCAGGCUCACUUAAGCUGAUGAAGAGCCUACUAUGUGCCAGGCAGUGAGCCAAAGAAAACAGUCAGGGAGAAGAAACGCAUAAAGAGAAAAACAGUAUCACCAUAUGCUGUAGCCCAUGACCUUCAUCUCAAGUUCCCUCCUGUCUCAACACUGCUCAUACUUUCCUGACUACAAGGUAGGAAACAACAAAACAUGACCACCCCCUACUUUCCUUGCCUGGAUUCACAACGUUCUAUCAUCAGCAGUUGUACAGUGUACUUAUUUGUUUCUU
Long non-coding RNA from Mustela erminea (ermine), 346 nucleotides. RefSeq lists it as uncharacterized. The record is from RefSeq and is a predicted model, not a curated record. The transcript is spliced from 3 exons. NCBI's taxonomy places the organism in Eukaryota, Metazoa, Chordata, Mammalia, Carnivora, Mustelidae.